Molecule: ribosomal RNA, 468 nt
Filed under: uncultured bacterium
Lineage: Bacteria
Description: partial 16S ribosomal RNA
Rfam family: Bacterial small subunit ribosomal RNA
Source: RNAcentral
GACGAACGCUGGCGGCGUGCUUAACACAUGCAAGUCGAACGGAAAGGCCCUGCUUUUGUGGGGUGCUCGAGUGGCGAACGGGUGAGUAACACGUGAGUAACCUGCCCUAGACUUUGGGAUAACUUCAGGAAACUGGGGCUAAUACCGGAUAGGAGCUCCUGCUGCAUGGUGGGGGUUGGAAAGUUUCGGCGGUUGGGGAUGGACUCGCGGCUUAUCAGCUUGUUGGUGGGGUAGUGGCUUACCAAGGCUUUGACGGGUAGCCGGCCUGAGAGGGUGACCGGCCACAUUGGGACUGAGAUACGGCCCAGACUCCUACGGUAGGCAGCAGGGGGGAACAUUGCACAAUGGGCGGAAGCCUGAUGCAGCAACGCCGCGUGCGGGAUGACGGCCUUCGGGUUGUAAACCGCUUUCGCCUGUGACGAAGCGUGAGUGACGGUAAUGGGUAAAGAAGCACCGGCUAACUACGUG